UACGGGAGGCAGCAGUGGGGAAUAUUGGACAAUGGGCGGAAGCCUGAUCCAGCCAUGCCGCGUGUGUGAAGAAGGCCUUUUGGUUGUAAAGCACUUUAAGCGAGGAGGAGGCUACUAGUACUAAUACUACUGGAUAGUGGACGUUACUCGCAGAAUAAGCACCGGCUAACUCUGUGCCAGCAGCCGCGGUAAUACAGAGGGUGCGAGCGUUAAUCGGAUUUUACUGGGCGUAAAGCGUGCGUAGGCGGCUGAUUAAGUCGGAUGUGAAAUCCCCUGAGCUUAACUUAGGAAUUGCAUUCGAUACUGGUCAGCUAGAGUAUGGGAGAGGAUGGUAGAAUUCCAGGUGUAGCGGUGAAAUGCGUAGAGAUCUGGAGGAAUACCGAUGGCGAAGGCAGCCAUCUGGCCUAAUACUGACGCUGGGGUACAAAGCAUGGGGAGCAAACAGGAUUAAGAAU
This 455-nucleotide ribosomal RNA is filed under the name uncultured bacterium. RNAcentral describes it as "bacterial SSU rRNA". It matches the Rfam family "Bacterial small subunit ribosomal RNA", at positions 340 to 785 of the family's 1533-position model. The record is from RNAcentral.